GUGCUUGUUUGGACAGCACACACGCUACAGUUGGAAUGACACGUGGAAGACGGCAUGGCCCCCAAGGGUGACGUGCAAAUUGGUGAAGCAUUUCACGUUUUU
This 102-nucleotide small nuclear RNA is filed under the name Propithecus coquereli (Coquerel's sifaka). Lineage: Eukaryota; Metazoa; Chordata; Mammalia; Primates; Indriidae. The record is from RNAcentral.